This 30-nucleotide non-coding RNA is filed under the name Mus musculus (house mouse). Lineage: Eukaryota; Metazoa; Chordata; Mammalia; Rodentia; Muridae. The record is from RNAcentral.
UNGGAAUAUUCCAGGAAGCUUACUUUGCUC